GACGAACGCUGGCGGCGUGCUUAACACAUGCAAGUCGAACGGAAAGGCCCUUCGGGGUACUCGAGUGGCGAACGGGUGAGUAACACGUGGGUGAUCUGCCCUGCACUUUGGGAUAAGCCUGGGAAACUGGGUCUAAUACCGAAUAUGAUCAUCGGCUUCAUGGUCGGUGGUGGAAAGCUUUUGCGGUGUGGGAUGGGCCCGCGGCCUAUCAGCUUGUUGGUGGGGUAAUGGCCUACCAAGGCGACGACGGGUAGCCGGCCUGAGAGGGUGACCGGCCACACUGGGACUGAGAUACGGCUCAGACUCCUACGGGAGGCAGCAGUGGGGAAUAUUGCACAAUGGGCGCAAGCCUGAUGCAGCGACGCCGCGUGAGGGAUGACGGCCUUCGGGUUGUAAACCUCUUUCAGCACAGACGAAGCGCAAGUGACGGUAUGUGCAGAAGAAGGACCGGCCAACUACGUG
RNAcentral lists this ribosomal RNA (462 nucleotides) under uncultured bacterium. RNAcentral describes it as "partial 16S ribosomal RNA". It matches the Rfam family "Bacterial small subunit ribosomal RNA", at positions 28 to 507 of the family's 1533-position model. The record is from RNAcentral.